Molecule: small RNA, 736 nt
Filed under: Pan troglodytes (chimpanzee)
Lineage: Eukaryota; Metazoa; Chordata; Mammalia; Primates; Hominidae
Description: processed transcript
Source: RNAcentral
CUCAGACGCCCCCUCUUGAACGGGCUUUUCCCACUCCUCCCUUUCUAAAACGAAGAUGCGGCUGGGGGCCUUCCCCUCCAACGAGGGAUCGAGGGCCGCGGGGCGAGCACUGAGUCGGAUCCCUGGCUCUGGGGCCAGGCCAGGCCUUGGCCCGCUGAUAGACCUCGAAGAUGGCCAUCAUCUUUUCUCCUUACCUCAGUGUCCUUGGCUCGGGGCCCAGGGAACUGGCAGCCUGGUCUCCGGCAUCGGAUGGGACCGGGGGGCGGGGAGGGGGUGAAUGGGGCAGUGAUUUGAAGAGGGGUCGCGGAGGCUGGGCCUGAGGCGCGGCUGUCCUCACCGCUCCCGCAGACAGCGUGGACGAUGAAUUUGAAUUGUCCACCGUGUGUCACCGGCCUGAGGGUCUGGAGCAGCUGCAGGAGCAAACCAAAUUCACGCGCAAGGAGUUGCAGGUCCUGUACCGGGGCUUCAAGAACGAAUGUCCCAGCGGAAUUGUCAAUGAGGAGAACUUCAAGCAGAUUUACUCCCAGUUCUUUCCUCAAGGAGACUCCAGCACCUAUGCCACUUUUCUCUUCAAUGCCUUUGACACCAACCAUGAUGGCUCGGUCAGUUUUGAGGUGAGCUGGGCGAGGUGGGCCAGGGAAGCCUGUUUCCUGGAGUUCAGGGCCAGGAUCUCCAGGCCAAACCCAGAGAAGGAGUUGGGUGAAGAGUACCCGAGGACACAGCUCCCUCCUGCCUC